CCUAAGGCUUUUCCGAAAGCCACCUCACUAUUAUAACAAAAGAAACU
Non-coding RNA from Myotis lucifugus (little brown bat), 47 nucleotides. The record is from Rfam. NCBI's taxonomy places the organism in Eukaryota, Metazoa, Chordata, Mammalia, Chiroptera, Vespertilionidae.